This 298-nucleotide signal recognition particle RNA is filed under the name Saimiri boliviensis boliviensis (Bolivian squirrel monkey). Its description in RNAcentral is "Metazoan signal recognition particle RNA (ENSSBOG00000007905.1)". It matches the Rfam family "Metazoan signal recognition particle RNA". From Rfam's summary of the family: The signal recognition particle (SRP) is a universally conserved ribonucleoprotein. The record is from RNAcentral. Lineage: Eukaryota; Metazoa; Chordata; Mammalia; Primates; Cebidae.
GCCGGAAGCAGUGGCGUGUGCCUGUAGUCCCAGCUACUCGGGAGGCUGAUGUGGAAGGAUUGUUUGAGCCCAGGGGUUCUGGGCUGUAGUGCCCUAUGCCGAUUGGGUGUCCGCACUAAGUUCGGCAUCAAUAUCGUGACCUCCCAGGAGCGGGUGACCACCAGGUUGCCUAAGGAGGGGUGACCCAGCCCAGGUCAGAAACGGAGCAGGUAAAAACCUCCGUGCUGAUCAGUAGUGGGAUCGCGCCUGUGAAUAGCCACUGCACCACAGCCUGGGCAACAUAGUGAGACCCCCGUCU